UACGGGGGGAGCAAGCGUUGUUCGGAUUUACUGGGCGUAAAGGGCGCGUAGGCGGCCACCGCAAGUCGGUUGUGAAAUCUCUGGGCUUAACCCAGAAAGGUCAAUCGAUACUGCGGGGCUAGAGUGCAGAAGGGGCAAUCGGAAUUCUCGGUGUAGCGGUGAAAUGCGUAGAUAUCGAGAGGAACACCUGAGGUGAAGACGGGUUGCUGGGCCGACACGUGACGCUGACAGCGCGAAAGCGUGGGGAGCGAACAGG
Molecule: ribosomal RNA, 256 nt
Filed under: uncultured bacterium
Lineage: Bacteria
Description: partial 16S ribosomal RNA
Rfam family: Bacterial small subunit ribosomal RNA
Source: RNAcentral